RNAcentral lists this ribosomal RNA (327 nucleotides) under uncultured bacterium. RNAcentral's name for it is "bacterial SSU rRNA". It matches the Rfam family "Bacterial small subunit ribosomal RNA", at positions 468 to 793 of the family's 1533-position model. The record is from RNAcentral.
UUUGACGUUAGCAACAGAAGAAGCACCGGCUAACUCCGUGCCAGCAGCCGCGGUAAUACGGAGGGUGCGAGCGUUAAUCGGAAUUACUGGGCGUAAAGCGCAUGCAGGUGGUUUGUUAAGUCAGAUGUGAAAGCCCGGGGCUCAACCUCGGAACUGCAUUUUGAAACUGGCAGACUAGAGUACUGUAGAGGGGGUAGGAAUUUCAGGUGUAGCGGUGAAAUGCGUAGAGAUCUGAAGGAAUACCGGUGGCGAAGGCGGCCCCCUGGACAGAUACUGACACUCAGAUGCGAAAGCGUGGGGAGCAAACAGGAUUAGAUACCCUGGUAG